AGGACAAACUGCCUGGCAAACCAGCAGGGCCAGGCGAAUGAGGCCAAUUGGCAGCAAGGGCUGGGAUGGAGAUGUCAGAGAUUUAGAGGCUCUCAGGGUUGGAAGGGGGACCUCAAAUUUCAUCUAGGUCAAUGCUCUGUCCCCUUACCUGAGUCCUGUCUAUAAUAUCCCUCCCAAUAGUGGGCUAACCUCAGCUUGAAUGCUCCCAAUGAUGGAGCACUCAUUACCUCCUGGGACCACGAACUCAUCAAUGGGUGGUGCUGACUGUGCAAAAACCCUCCUUCAUUUUGAGCCUAAAUCUGUUUUCCAACAUGAAGAGAGAAGACCCCCGCAGUGAGUUCAUCCUUCUUCUGGCUCCAGCCCUCAGUGCUGCGAAGGAGCCACAAGUCACUAUUCAUGAGGAAACAUGCCCGGUGUCUUGGGUGGAGGCAGAGGCACCACUGAUCCACAAAGAUGUGGUGUGAUUUUUUCCUCUCAGGGGGACUUUGCUUGGGGGAGGGGCCACUGGGAAGAGCCAAGAAGCUGCUAGAAAAAAACUGAAGUCGUUCCUCCUUCUCAAGUGCGAAGUGAACCUGCAGCAGAACAUUAGAAACCCUGAUGCAGGCUAGCUCCGUCUGUGGGGACUGUUACACGCUGGUUCUCUGUUGCCAGCUCCAGGGAGUCAGGGUCUGAGAGGAGCCACCCCAGGUAUUCCACUUAUAGUUAUAGCUCCAAGCAGGGGUCAUCAGCAGGGUGACUGGAACUCCCUGCGGUUCCAGAGAGCCACAGAUGCUCACCCAUGCUGGCUUUGGUAGGCAGGGAGCUCAGUAAGCCUCUCCGAGGCUCAGGAUUUUGCCAGCUUGGAAGAGCACUGGAUUCCAAGCUUGGAAGAGCACUUGGAAGAGCACUGGAUUCCAAGCCAGCUUGGAAGAGCACAGAGUAAGGCAGGCUUCUUACUCUGUCACUUCGGACAAGUCCCUUCCUCUCUCUGGCUGUCAGUUUCCUCUGCUGUGAUAUGUGCUAUGUGUGGACCUUCAGAAAUGGUGCAGGGCUGGGCCCUGCAGCUGCCGAA
Molecule: long non-coding RNA, 1051 nt
Filed under: Pan troglodytes (chimpanzee)
Lineage: Eukaryota; Metazoa; Chordata; Mammalia; Primates; Hominidae
Description: lincRNA
Source: RNAcentral